Molecule: long non-coding RNA, 1603 nt
Organism: Anguilla rostrata (American eel)
Lineage: Eukaryota; Metazoa; Chordata; Actinopteri; Anguilliformes; Anguillidae
Exons: 2
Source: RefSeq, a predicted model, not a curated record
UGGAAUGCAUUUUCAUCUUUGUUAGACCUCUUUUAAACAUAUUUGAUUUCACACACACACACACACAAACAUACGUGUGUAUGUAUAUGGUUAAUUUGUUUAUUUCUAAAUUUGAAUGGGAGGAGGCGAAGAGUAAAACAGGAAUUUAACGUGAGAAGAUUUUGAUUGGCUGGCACGCUGCCAUAACAUUGUCAAUCUCGCAGUGUAAACAAGGCUCUGAUUGGCUGCUGGCCAGUCCGCACUGGGCUGUCUGAAAAACGCAAUUACUGGGCCCUGUGGUUUCAAGGCAGCCCGGGGUUGAAUGAUGAAAAGAGAUAGAUGGACUGUUUCAAGGUUUCCCCUUCGCGGACCUCGUUGGCCUAAGAACCACAGGGAUAGUCAGGAGUGAAUCGAGGGGAAUUCGGAGGGGGUGGGGGUGCACGUUGUCUCAUCAUAUCGAGGCCAGUUUUUGGGGAUUAAUGCGAUGCAAUAACAAUGUAGCAGUUAGCAUUACUGAAGGGGCAUGGCAUAAACGGCAUUAACCAGAUGGAAGUGCAACUACGAACCGCUGAAGUUAGCGUUGGUGGAAAAAUAACAGGAAACGUCCGUGUGCCAGCGCGAGCUUCCCAAUGGCGGAACAGAGGGAUAAUUAAUGCGGAGUGACUGAUUGCUCUUGAAGGAGACCAGUCCUACGAGAGGGAUUGUCCCUGACCAACGAAGCGUUUCUGAUUGACACUUUCCUACCAUAUUCCACCCACAUGCAGCAACCGGAAGAGGGCAUUUGUCACCGGCGUCGUAUGGGGGGCUACAACACCCAGUUAUUACCGUGGCUUUGCUUCAUGCUUUUGUAUGUCAUGCGUACCUUCAAAACCUUAACCUGAAGGCCCAGACUCCUUGCUCUAGAAUACUGCAAGUAAAAACGUUUACUCGAAAACCUCCCCAAUAUAAUGUGUGGAAAAUUCGCAUGAUAAUUAAAGCACAUAAUUAUGCAUUCAACGGCAGUCGUGAACCAUUGUUACUCAACAAUGAAUCCAGAACACCAACCAAAUGCAAGACAUAGGUCACGUCAAAUGCCCAGAUAUUUCAAUUAUUUGUGGGUCCGACUGUACAUUAGAAACAUUCAUUAAAUCCAUCAAAUGCAUCCUCUUAUAUAAUGUUAGUUUUGGAGAAAAAAUAUCUUAUGGGUUUCCACUCAUAAUCAAUACCUAAUCAAUGAUAGAUUUCGAUGGCAAUAUAAAAAACUAGAGGAAUACGCAAAAUAGGUGUAAUGUUCGGCUUAUGAUACAACAUCGAUAAAGCAAUUAAUUCAUAUCUUUCUGGGUAUUUUUGAUUACAUGAAUGGCGUUUUAAAUGGUCUUCAGUUGAACUAAGAAGAAUAUUCGUUCUUGUUGUAAAUCCACUGAGCCAAAGAGGUUGAGAAACGUUUCCUAUUUGUAUCUGAAAAUAGGCCACUUGAAGUGUUGUUCAAUCCAAAUUUUCUAAGCUGUUUAAUGCCAAGCUUUUUAAAAGAAAUGUUUGUUUUCAUUACGUUAAAUAAUUCCAUCUUUUCAUGACUUUAAUUACCAAAAUGUCAAAACUGGAAUAAAAAGAAAAACCAAUAAGGGCCUCCCUGUUGAAGAAGUGA